GAUGAAGAACGUAGCGAAAUGCGAUAAGUAAUGUGAAUUGCAGAAUUCAGUGAAUCAUCGAAUCUUUGAACGCAUCUUGCGCUCCUUGGUAUUCCGAGGAGCAUGCCUGUUUGAGUGUCAUUUUAACUUCUCAACCAUAUCGAAUUGUUUUUCGAGGUGGCUUGGACAUGGGGGUUUUUGCAGGCUUUAAUAAUGAAGUCGGCUCCUCUGGAAUGCAUUAGUGGUAUCUGAAGCAGAACUGCUACUAUUAGGUGUGAUAAUUAUCUAUGCCUCUUGGUAUACUGCAUGAACAGAUUGCGCUGCUUCCAACUUGUACACCCUUUGGUGUUUGACAAAUUUGACCUCAAAUCAGGUAGGACUACCCGCUGAACUUAAGCAUAUCAAUAAGCGGAGGA
RNAcentral lists this unclassified non-coding RNA (395 nucleotides) under soil metagenome. RNAcentral's name for it is "partial contains 5.8S ribosomal RNA, internal transcribed spacer 2, and large subunit ribosomal RNA". The stretch from base 1 to 120 matches the Rfam family "5.8S ribosomal RNA", at positions 35 to 154 of the family's 154-position model. The record is from RNAcentral.